This 253-nucleotide ribosomal RNA is filed under the name uncultured bacterium. RNAcentral's name for it is "partial 16S ribosomal RNA". It matches the Rfam family "Bacterial small subunit ribosomal RNA", at positions 524 to 776 of the family's 1533-position model. The record is from RNAcentral.
UACGUAGGGUGCAAGCGUUAAUCGGAAUUACUGGGCGUAAAGCGUGCGCAGGCGGCUUUGCAAGACAGAUGCGAAAUCCCCGGGCUUAACCUGGGAACUGCAUUUGUGACUGCAUGGCUGGAGUGCGGCAGAGGGGGAUGGAAUUCCGCGUGUAGCAGUGAAAUGCGUAGAUAUGCGGAGGAACACCGAUGGCGAAGGCAAUCCCCUGGGCCUGCACUGACGCUCAUGCACGAAAGCGUGGGGAGCAAACAGG